This is a non-coding RNA of Parelaphostrongylus tenuis, 68 nucleotides long. Lineage: Eukaryota; Metazoa; Nematoda; Chromadorea; Rhabditida; Metastrongylidae. The record is from the annotation of a GenBank genome assembly.
UCGCUGGUGUAGUGGUAGCGCGAGCGCUUGCUUAGGGUGAGACGAGGGUUCAUUUCCCGCCUGAAGAA